RNAcentral lists this ribosomal RNA (524 nucleotides) under uncultured bacterium. RNAcentral describes it as "partial 16S ribosomal RNA". It matches the Rfam family "Bacterial small subunit ribosomal RNA", at positions 29 to 523 of the family's 1533-position model. The record is from RNAcentral.
AACGAACGCUGGCGGCAGGUCUUAGGCAUGCAAGUCGAACGGACAGACAGAGAGCUUGCUCUCUUGAAGUUAGUGGCGAACGGGUGAGUAACGCGUAAUCAACCUGCCCUUCAGAGGGGGAUAACAACGGGAAACCGUUGCUAAUACCGCGUACGAUUCAUGAACGGCAUCGUUUAUGAAUGAAAGGUGGCCUCUAUGUAUAAGCUAUCGCUGAAGGAGGGGAUUGCGUCUGAUUAGCUAGUUGGAGGGGUAACGGCCCACCAAGGCAAUGAUCAGUAGCCGGUCUGAGAGGAUGAACGGCCACAAUGGGACUGAGACACGGCCCAAACUCCUACGGGAGGCAGCAGUGGGGAAUCGUCCGCAAUGGACGAAAGUCUGACGGAGCAACGCCGCGUGAGCGAUGAAGGUCUUCGGAUUGUAAAGCUCUGUUAAUCGGGACGAAAGAGUUCUGCGUGAAUAAUGCAGAAAAGUGACGGUACCGGAAUAGAAAGCCACGGCUAACUACGUGCCAGCAGCCGCCGUAA